This 453-nucleotide ribosomal RNA is filed under the name uncultured bacterium. RNAcentral's name for it is "SSU rRNA". It matches the Rfam family "Bacterial small subunit ribosomal RNA", at positions 26 to 518 of the family's 1533-position model. The record is from RNAcentral.
AGGACAAACGCUGGCGGCGUGCAUAACACAUGCAAGUCGAACGAGCCUAGCGAUAGGCGAGUGGCGGACGGGUGAGGAACACGUGGAUGACCGACCUUUUACUGGGGAAUACCCGUGGGAAACCACGGCUAAUACCGCAUACGUUCUGCAAAGAAGAAAGCCUUCGGGCGGUAAGAGACGGGUCUGCGGUCGAUUAGCUAGUUGGUGCGGUAAUGGCGUACCAAGGCGACGAUCGAUAGCUGGUCUGAGAGGAUGAUCAGCCACAUUGGGAUUGAGAACGGCCCAAAUCCCUACGGGGAGCAGCAGUGAGGAAUAUUCGGCAAUGGGCGCAAGCCUGACCGAGCGACGCCGCGUGGGGGAUGACGCAUUUCGGUGUGUAAACCCCUUUUCUGUGGGACGAGAAUGGACGGUACCACAGGAAUAAGUCUCGGCUAACUACGUGCCAGCAGCCGC